UUCUAAACAUCUAAGUUAGCAACAUUCUAGGAGAUGCAGACAUAUUCCAUUUCCCAUCAGUAAGAGUAACCAUUUUGUCGAAUUCUUAGCAGAUUUGAGGCCUGACAUUUUGAAGUUUUAUUUACUUUUACAAGUUCUACACUUUGUCUACCAAAAUCUAGAUUCUAUACUUGAUUCUGGCGUGUCUUGAGAAAUACUCUGUUCCUGUUUCUACCAGGCUGUGUUAAGUCCAGAACCAAGAUGACAGAGUAGAAGCAGGGAUGCUGAAAACCACCAUGAGAAUACUCUCCAGCCAAUCUUAAAAUAAUUCCACAAAGUGAAUAUAGGAGUUAAAGAACCAACAAGGAAUGGAGUGAAGCAACUUUCAAGAAGAAAAGAAAUAUUCUUAGGAUUUCAGACCUAGGGUCAGAUCCCUUCAAGUAUACAAUAGUGUAAACUACUCUGCAUAUACUUAU
This 455-nucleotide long non-coding RNA is filed under the name Monodelphis domestica (gray short-tailed opossum). RNAcentral's name for it is "lncRNA (ENSMODG00000044438.1)". The record is from RNAcentral. Lineage: Eukaryota; Metazoa; Chordata; Mammalia; Didelphimorphia; Didelphidae.